This 62-nucleotide transfer RNA is filed under the name Alteromonas macleodii ATCC 27126. RNAcentral's name for it is "tRNA-Und (NNN) (tRNA-Und-NNN-1-1)". It matches the Rfam family "tRNA". Rfam says of the family: Transfer RNA (tRNA) molecules are approximately 80 nucleotides in length. Their secondary structure includes four short double-helical elements and three loops (D, anti-codon, and T loops). Lineage: Bacteria; Pseudomonadati; Pseudomonadota; Gammaproteobacteria; Alteromonadales; Alteromonadaceae. The record is from RNAcentral.
GGACGCUUAGCUCAGUUGGGAGAGCAUCAGGGUCACUGGUUCAAGCCCAGUAGCGUCCACCA